UGUCCCAGAAUUUCACCUGAAUCACAAAGCGUGGCGCCUCGGGGCCUGGCUCCCUUCACGUGGCCUGAUGUCUGCAUAUUCAUCCGCCGUGCAGUGUGUGUCCACGGUUCAUUUUGUGUUGCCACGGAGCAUCUCAUUGUGUGGCCCUAGCCCAGUGUGUUAAUCCGUUCACCUGCUGGUGGGUGUUGCAGUGGUUUCCAGCUCUUGGUUAUCACCGAGAAAGUGACUGUGAACUUCCGCACACACGUUUUGCUGAGGACAACUCCUUCCAUUUCACUUGGUUAUUAGGAGUGGAGUUGCUGGGUCCUAGGGAAGGUGUGUGUUUCUCUCUAAAAGAAUUUGCCAAACCGAUGUCCAAAGCUGUACCAUUUCAGGCUCCUGCCUGAAAUCAUGCUGUGAUUGUCAUUUCAGGGUCCACGUCUGACAAGUCCACCGUGGCUGCCCUUCUGGGCCUGUUGCUGCUGACUCACGUUCCCACGGCCACCUUUCCCUGCGUCUGGACGUAGUAGCAAUUUCUCGUUGGAUGUGGACAUUGUGCUGUGACCGCUUUGAUCACCUGGCAUUUUUGUUGGGUUGUUUUUGGCCUUCCUUUAAAGGACGCUGCGCUGUGUUCUGCGUGGAGUUCAGCUCCUUGCUCUUCACUUUGGUCUUCGUGUGGCUGGUUCUGAAGCCUCUCAGAGCAGGUCCAGCCCAGCCUUUCCUGCAGGAAGAGUCCAGCCCCACUCCCAGGACGGGCCCUGCUGGGUGGCUGCCAACAGCCCAGGAUCCUCCAGGACUCUCCCCCUGGCGGUUGGAACUCCUGUCUCCCACCUCCCGCCAGGACUGCUGGACCUGCCUGGAUGCCCGCCCCUGCUCGGCCAUCCUCAAUGGGCCUCCACCCCAGGGCUGGGGUGACCCGGGCUGAAAACAGUUCAUCCUGAGUUUCAGUCUCGAGCUUUCGUGGCAGGAGGGAAACUGCUGGCUGUGUUACUCCACGGCGGCUGGAACGGACGGGACCAGCUCCCUUCAGAGGGGCACUUCGGUUGGUUCUAGAAUUCUCCUUUGCUAUGAAGGCUGCCGGGCACAUUCCACACCAGCCACCCUCCACCUCGCAUGUGCGUUUAUCGAUGAAACGCCACAGUGGGACCUCCUGGAUCAAAUAGUGCAAUGAUGUAAACGCUUAGUAUUGUCCUGGAACCUGCCUCCGAAAAGGCCGUGCGCUCCCGCCUGGGAUCCUGCUGCUCCUCCGCCGGCCGCCCCGCACACGCUCCGCUGCCUCUCUGGGCUGGCUCAGCCGUUGCAUGUUCCUGCGUGUGCACUGAGACGUCCACCCUGGCACGCUUCUUCCCCUCGGCACGUGGUCCCCACGCUGUGCCUGCCCAGCUCGGAGCCCAGAGGCCCCCGCAGCUCCCCACAACUUCAUGGUGCAGUGACCUGAGGCCUCCCCUGGCUCAGUCCCUUUCCCAGGGUCAGGGGUCCAUGUAUUGAACCAGGACGGGAGGUGCCUUCCCCCUGAGCUCUGUCCCUGCUGAACCUGGAAGGCAGCGCCCGGUGGCGGCUCAGACCCCCAGAGCCUCUUCUGAGGUCCGACACUCCUCUGCUCCCCCCAGGGAGACCCCCUGGCCUGGCCCCCAGCUCUCGGUGCCUCGGUUUCCUCACCUGGAAGGUGGGGAUGUUGAAGGUGCCUGGCCUGUGGCUGUGCACUAAGCUAGGGUGACUGUGAGCUUCCAGAGCUCGAAUGUCUGGAAGGAAGGGCGCGAGCUGGGUGCGUGUGAGUGUCCUGAUCAUGGACACAGAGCGUGGGGCCCCUUGGAGGGCUGGAACCCAGGUGGGGGAUGCCUGGGUGGUGGGACAGAGUGGGGCUGGAGGAGAGGGUCUGAGGAAUGUUCCGGCCACAGACACCCCAAGCCCACGGGAGGUCAGGAGUUGGUCACAAGGAAGGUGAGGUGGGGAACAGAGCUGGGGCCCAGGGUCCUGAUUUGGGGUGAGAGGUGACGCCAUCCCCGAGUCAGAAAGACGGCCAGGGGAGGGGAGGAGGUGGGGAAAGCAGACAGACGGGGAGGCGGGGGGAGCCCAGGGCCAGGAGUGUCAGGGGCAGGCACUUGAGACAGAGGCACCCUGAGGUUUCCCAGCAGGCAAUUGAUACCCUGGCCUGCAGCGUGGAGGAACCGGGGCUGGGCUGGAGGCCUGGGGACGCCUGGGGCUGCCCCAAUUCCCAGCAGACACCUCACCCUCUGGGAAGCCCCAGCUGCCCCAGAUCCCUCCCACAAUGCUCUGACCACCCCCAACCCCCAAGUCCUCUCCCUUCUGUCCCCAAGCCCGAGGCCUUGGAGCUGCCCCCGCCCUGGGCCAUGAGAGCUGGACACAGAGCCCUCCAAGUUCCACGGGCCUCCUGCACCGCCGCCUGCUCCGCCCUCCUGCCCUCCCCCUCGGCCUCCCCUGUGAGGGCUGCCCACCUAGGUGACCCCGGAGCCGCCUCCUCACGCCUCCAUCUGCUCUGCACACCGUCCACUAGCCUGACAGCUGCCCAAAGCCUCCAGAGCACAGAACGGGCCUGGUGUCUGCGCCUCCGUCUCGGGGUGGGCCACGGCCGGUUCUGUGUCCCGUCCCCUCCCCGCUCACCAGCGGUGGACCCCAGCUUCCCUCUGCAGCAGCACUCAACUCACACACUUUCUCAGAGACGCGCAGCCCACCUCGCCCCCGCAGUUUCCUCUUCAUCCCUCAGAGCCCCCCAUGGCCUGGGCAGUCCAUCCUGAGUGUCCGCACCACACGACUGUAGACGUUUGGCUUCUGGACUCAAAUCCUUCACCAGAUCGUGACCAGGAUGGCAAUGACCAGGCCUCGGCCUCAGCCCCCUGCCUGGCCUGCACUGGCACAGCAUUGGGUCUGGGGAGUCCCCGCGACAGGAGGCGUGGGGCUCGGGGUGCUCACCUGCCUCCCUCUCCCUGCUGGUAAUGGUGGGCCCCGGGAUGGGGGCAGUGAUAUCCUGCGGGCAGCCGUGUCAAUGCAGAUGGCUGGGUGCUGGGUAGGGCCCCGUCUCCCGCCUCCUUGGGCUGCCUCAUUUCCUUCCUGAUGACCCUGGGGUCCUGCACAGGGCCUGGCGGUGCUGGUGCCGGGAGAGCCCACGCUGAAUGGAUGAAGGAGUGAGUGCUGUACUUAGCGGGGGGCGCUGAGCGCUGGGUGGGGAGCCCAGGACAUUUCCUCCUGCUGCCCGGGAGGUAACACCCUGGACCCCUGGAGUCUGCAUUCUGUGAGAGCGGGCAGGCCACAGAGAAGGGAGAAAAGGGACGGAGGGCCGAGGCGGGCGGAUACGGGGAGCAGGGAGCGGGGACAGGGCUUACUCAGCAAUCAGAGAAGGCCUCAAGGAAGAGGUGACAUUUCAGCAAAGACCUGGCACUGUCUGUGCCCUCGGUGGGGCAGAUGGGCUCCCUUCAGCCCCCUUGAGGCCUGGCACCUGGGGCCCUAUGUCAGGCUUGGGGCCUUGGUGUGGGAGCUGAAGUCGGGGUAGGAGGGGCAUGGAGGAAGGGGCAGGAGGGGCUGAGUCUCACUGAUGCCUGUGUUAGUCUUGUCUCUUGCCAUGCCUCAGUUUCCCUCCUCCCCAGGGUGGGGUGGAUGAGACGACUCUGGAGGACGUAUCUGAGAGAGUGGGGUUGGAGCCCCGUACCGGCAGGUGUAGGCGCUGUGUCUGCUCUUGGAGGUUGGGCGUUCUUGGGGAGUUGGUGAGGGAACGUGCUGUCCCUGCACCCUGGAGCCCCCAUGCCCUCCUGGGGCCCCCGGGAGUGGAGGAUGCAAGGGGCCCCCUUCUUCUUCCUUGCAAGACCCACAUGGCUCUGCAUGUGGGGGACAUUCCUGGCAGGGGGCGCUGAGGGCCAGGAUGUGAGUGCACCAGGGAAACAGCAGAUGGGGCUCCUCUCCCAGGCUCCAGCUGUGGGGUGGGAGUCCAUGCUCCUGCGUGUCUCUUGGGGGCUUUUCCUCCACUGGGUGCCACCUGGUCCCCCACCCUGCCUCAGAGUAUUGGGGUCUGGGCUCGUCCACCCUGGAUGCUGGCCAGGAGUGCACCUGCCUCUGGAGCUCGGGACGCUUGGCCCCACAGGACGGUGUCGCACACCACAGCCGGCCUAACUUCACCCCUGCCUGCUCCCUCUCCAGGGCCGGCCUGCAGGGCUGCACACUUUCUAGUUGGGGUGCAGGUCCCCGGGCUCCUGCCACAGAUUCCUGUGGCUGGCCACCCUG
This 4212-nucleotide long non-coding RNA is filed under the name Homo sapiens (human). RNAcentral describes it as "non-protein coding lnc-TNFRSF14-1:1". The record is from RNAcentral. Lineage: Eukaryota; Metazoa; Chordata; Mammalia; Primates; Hominidae.